GGGUCAGUAGGUUGGUCGUGCCACCGGUACGUACUGGUCUCACUGAUUCCUCCUUCCUGAAGAACCGUAAUGCCAUUAAUUUGGUGUUGCGGGGAAACAGGACUGUUACUUUGAAAAAAUUAGAGUGUUUAAAGCAAGCUAACGCUUGAAUACAUUAGCAUGGAGUAAUGAAAUAGGACGAUCGAUCCUGUUUUGUUGGUUUCUAGGAUUGACGUA
Molecule: ribosomal RNA, 216 nt
Filed under: Glomeromycotina sp.
Lineage: Eukaryota; Fungi; Glomeromycota
Description: partial small subunit ribosomal RNA
Rfam family: Eukaryotic small subunit ribosomal RNA (bases 40-216)
Source: RNAcentral